UACGGGGGGGGUAAGCGUUGUUCGGAAUUACUGGGCGUAAAGGGCGCGUAGGCGGCUUUGCAAGUGACGGGUGAAAUCCCUCGGCUUAACCGAGGAACUGCCUGUCAAACUGCAUGGCUUGAGACCGGGAGAGGUGAGUGGAAUUCCCAGUGUAGCGGUGAAAUGCGUAGAUAUUGGGAGGAACACCAGUGGCGAAGGCGGCUCACUGGACCGGUACUGACGCUGAUGCGCGAAAGCGUGGGGAGCAAACAGG
Molecule: ribosomal RNA, 253 nt
Filed under: uncultured bacterium
Lineage: Bacteria
Description: partial 16S ribosomal RNA
Rfam family: Bacterial small subunit ribosomal RNA
Source: RNAcentral